This 700-nucleotide ribosomal RNA is filed under the name Kluyveromyces marxianus. RNAcentral describes it as "eukaryotic LSU rRNA". The stretch from base 249 to 402 matches the Rfam family "5.8S ribosomal RNA". Lineage: Eukaryota; Fungi; Ascomycota; Saccharomycetes; Saccharomycetales; Saccharomycetaceae. The record is from RNAcentral.
CCUGCGGAAGGAUCAUUAAAGAUUAUGAAUGAAUAGAUUACUGGGGGAAUCGUCUGAACAAGGCCUGCGCUUAAUUGCGCGGCCAGUUCUUGAUUCUCUGCUAUCAGUUUUCUAUUUCUCAUCCUAAACACAAUGGAGUUUUUUCUCUAUGAACUACUUCCCUGGAGAGCUCGUCUCUCCAGUGGACAUAAACACAAACAAUAUUUUGUAUUAUGAAAAACUAUUAUACUAUAAAAUUUAAUAUUCAAAACUUUCAACAACGGAUCUCUUGGUUCUCGCAUCGAUGAAGAACGCAGCGAAUUGCGAUAUGUAUUGUGAAUUGCAGAUUUUCGUGAAUCAUCAAAUCUUUGAACGCACAUUGCGCCCUCUGGUAUUCCAGGGGGCAUGCCUGUUUGAGCGUCAUUUCUCUCUCAAACCUUUGGGUUUGGUAGUGAGUGAUACUCGUCUCGGGUUAACUUGAAAGUGGCUAGCCGUUGCCAUCUGCGUGAGCAGGGCUGCGUGUCAAGUCUAUGGACUCGACUCUUGCACAUCUACGUCUUAGGUUUGCGCCAAUUCGUGGUAAGCUUGGGUCAUAGAGACUCAUAGGUGUUAUAAAGACUCGCUGGUGUUUGUCUCCUUGAGGCAUACGGCUUUAACCAAAACUCUCAAAGUUUGACCUCAAAUCAGGUAGGAGUACCCGCUGAACUUAAGCAUAUCAAAA